RNAcentral lists this ribosomal RNA (468 nucleotides) under uncultured bacterium. RNAcentral's name for it is "partial 16S ribosomal RNA". It matches the Rfam family "Bacterial small subunit ribosomal RNA", at positions 28 to 507 of the family's 1533-position model. The record is from RNAcentral.
GACGAACGCUGGCGGCGUGCUUAACACAUGCCAGUCGAACGGAAAGGCCCUGCUUUUGUGGGGUGCUCGAGUGGCGAACGGGUGAGUAACACGUGAGUAACCUGCCCUUGACUUUGGGAUAACUUCAGGAAACUGGGGCUAAUACCGUAUAGGAGCUCCUGCUGCAUGGUGGGGGUUGGAAAGUUGCGGCGGUUGGGGAUGGACGCGCGGCUUAUCAGCUUGUUGGUGGGGUAGUGGCUUACCAAGGCAUUGACGGGUAGCCGGCCUGAGAGGGUGACCGGCGACAUUGGGACUGAGAGACGGCGCAGACUGCUACGGGAGGCAGCAGUGGGGAGUAUUGCACAAUGGGCGGAAGCCUGAUGCAGAGACGCCGCGUGCGGGAUGACGGUCUUUGGGUUGUAAAACGCUUUCGCCUGUGACGAAGCGUGAGUGACGGUAAUGGGUAAAGAAGCACCGGCUAACUACGUG